This is a long non-coding RNA of Octopus bimaculoides (California two-spot octopus), 1624 nucleotides long. The record is from RefSeq and is a predicted model, not a curated record. Lineage: Eukaryota; Metazoa; Mollusca; Cephalopoda; Octopoda; Octopodidae.
CAGUUGAACAAGGAACAGGAUAGAUAAACAAACUGACAGUAAGAUUAAGAUGGCAGAGAAGGUGACAGAGAUCUAGGUACAUUAGCAGGGGGUGGGAUAAGAAGAAAGCUGCAGGGAACAGUUUGAUUUAGGGUCAUAUAGAAUCAUGGUCCAAGUGCUGGAAACAACUUGACCUAACUGACAAUCACCAUAAAUACCAAAAAAAAAAAAAAUGUCAACCCUUGGACAUGGUAACCCAAAUUAGGUAACAUUUAAUAUUAACAGAACAGAAUAGCUGAACAACUCUUACAACUAUACAGUAAAGACCUGACAUCCCAACCACUGCUCACAACUCCACAUGCUGCUGAAAAGUAAACAAAAUUUCCAUUUACCAUACUGCUGUGGCUGUUAGGAUAUCUGUGUGGUUUUUAAAUGGUAUCAAGCAGGCUUCUCCAAGUAACAAGUUAGCAAGAAUGCUCCCAGCGAAACAGGUCAGCAUACAAGACAACCAACAGCAUACAGGAUGUUUGCGCGAGAAGGUAUUGUCUGAUUCUGAAACAAGAGUUUGAGAAAACACACAUUAUACUGAGAUUGAAGAGUUGGAUGCUUUACAUAAGAGGUGGAACCAGUUUUACACUCCACUCAUUACAAUAGGCAAUAGCUAAUAAACAGUAUAUAAAUAGAGCACACACUAACAACUGUUAUUCUAUACUGAAACUUUUGAUGAACCUGAAACACCAAGGAGAUAACAACUGUGAAAAUAUUUACAAACUCCCAAAGGAAUUCUGAAAUGAAAAUGAGAAAGAUUAAAAUAUUGAAAAAUAAAAGAAAAUCUAGUUUUUAAUUAAACCCUUGGAGACUGAGACUGCUGAUGCUUCUAUAUUAAUGAUGUAUAAAAAAAAAAAAUUUUCAUGAGAUGCAAAAGGAAGAAGAGUGUUAUUAGUUAAAUAUAGAUAUUGUGAAAGAGAUAGAUCUCGUUUCUUUCUAGCUCAAAAAUGGUACACUAAUAGAUCAGCCCAGUCACCAUCUUGUUCAGAUAUAUUUAACUUAUGAUGAAAUAAAGUCAACAAGAGAGACUAUGCCAUUCAGUUGAUCUAGAAAUAGCAACAAAAUCUCCAUCAAAUCACACCCUACUAGCUUUAAAAAAAAAAAAAAAAAAAAGACACACAUUGGAUGAAAUCCUAAAUAAACUGUACCUAUAAAAAAAGAAAAAGACAAAAUGGACCUGUUUGGAACACUUUUGAUCAUAAAUCUGCCCGGUUGGGUUUUCCUUGGGUUAAACAAAAAUAAUUAUUUACUGAAUUUGCAGCAGAAUCACAUCCUAACAGUACCAUCUUUAUAUAUGAUGUCAAUAAAUCAUUCAUGUCCUUUCUUUUAUCUUUGACUUGUUUCAGUCAUUAAACUGUGACAAUGUUGGGACAUUGCCCUGGAGAAUUUUAGUUUUUUAAACCUGGCACUUUUGGUCUCUUUUCCUGAACCAUUAAGUUAUGGAGAUGUAAACACACCAUCACUGGUUGUCAAGUGGUAGUAGGAGACAAAUACACACAUUAUAAUAUAUUACAUAUAUAUAUAUAUUUAUAAAGUGAGUUUGGAGGGAUAUAUUAUCUGGGUGGAUAUUGUAUUAGCUCUUAUUUAAGUUCUAGUU